GACGAACGCUGGCGGCGUGCUUAACACAUGCAAGUCGAGCGGUAAGGCCCCCGUUCGGGGGUACACGAGCGGCGAACGGGUGAGUAACACGUGAGCAACCUACCCUCAACUUCGGGAUAAGCCUCGGAAACGGGGUCUAAUACCGGAUAUCACUUCCUGCCUCAUGGUGGGGGUUGAAAGUUCGUGGCGGUUGGGGAUGGGCUCGCGGCCUAUCAGCUUGUUGGUGGGGUAAUGGCCUACCAAGGCGUCGACGGGUAGCCGGCCUGAGAGGGCGACCGGGCCACACUGGGACUGAGACACGGCCCAGACUCCUACGGGA
This 319-nucleotide ribosomal RNA is filed under the name uncultured bacterium. Its description in RNAcentral is "bacterial SSU rRNA". It matches the Rfam family "Bacterial small subunit ribosomal RNA", at positions 28 to 346 of the family's 1533-position model. The record is from RNAcentral.